AUCUGCAUAGAAUCUGCGACAUAUCUGCAAGCUGAUCCACCAGAAUCAAGAAGAGCUCUGCAAUCCAGCAAUUCGGGAGGUAGUGACGAGAAAUACUGAUAUAAGACUCUUUCAUGAUGUUUUAUAAUUGGAAUGAAUCGAGCAUAAGUCAAUCGGCAAGGAUCAAGUUGACGGUGAGUCAGGUACCAGCAGCCACGGGAAUUCCAGCUCCACUAGCGUGUAUUAAAAUUGUUGCGGUUAAAACGUUCGAAGUUUAUUCUUGCCCAACACAGGUGCUACUUCUAAUGAUGGUGGAAGGUCACUGGAUUGUUGCGAUUAUGAGGAUGGGGUUAUCUUGAACAAAUUGGAAGACUCUAAACAGUAUACUAAGUCUUGAUCUGUUUUCAAUAAAUGCGUUCUCCUCAACGUCCAGGGAUUGAAUGAUUUUUC
This 429-nucleotide non-coding RNA is filed under the name Culex quinquefasciatus (southern house mosquito). Its description in RNAcentral is "Eukaryotic small subunit ribosomal RNA". It matches the Rfam family "Eukaryotic small subunit ribosomal RNA", at positions 3 to 854 of the family's 1831-position model. The record is from Rfam by way of RNAcentral. Lineage: Eukaryota; Metazoa; Arthropoda; Insecta; Diptera; Culicidae.